AUGGAUUUUCCCUCUUUUGAUGGGGAAAACCCACAAUUCUGGAAGACUAGAUGUGAAAAGUACUUUGAUGUCUAUGGGGUUGUUCCAGAGCUUUGGGUUCGUGUAGCUACCCUCAAUUUUACGGGCAACGCGGCCAGAUGGCUGCAACUGCAUGAAAUACAGAGCGCCUUGUUCACUUGGGAAUCCCUGUGCACAGCUCUGUGUGCCAAGUUUGGCCGCGAGCAAUAUCAAGCUCAUCUUCGGCAGUUUAACACCCUGCGUCAGUCAGGCUCGGUAGGGGAGUACAUGACUAAGUUUGAGGAGUUGAUGCACCAUAUCUUAGCUCAUAACCCUGCU
RNAcentral lists this ribosomal RNA (336 nucleotides) under Triticum aestivum (bread wheat). Its description in RNAcentral is "partial small subunit ribosomal RNA". Lineage: Eukaryota; Viridiplantae; Streptophyta; Magnoliopsida; Poales; Poaceae. The record is from RNAcentral.